RNAcentral lists this unclassified non-coding RNA (145 nucleotides) under uncultured fungus. RNAcentral's name for it is "sequence contains ITS1, 5.8S rRNA gene". Lineage: Eukaryota; Fungi. The record is from RNAcentral.
UUGUUUUAUUAAUAUUAUACACGUUCAUUACACUGAUGUUUGUUAAGAUAGACCCAGAGGUCCACAGUUCACAGAGGUGAGGGAUAUAGAGAUGAGGCCUUUCGGCCAAUCUUUAAUGAUCCUUCCGCAGGUUCACCUACGGAAA